GAAUAUUGCACAAUGGGCGAAAGCCUGAUGCAGCGACGCCGCGUGAGGGAUGAAGGCCUUCGGGUUGUAAACCUCUUUCAGCAGGGAAGAAGCGAAAGUGACGGUACCUGCAGAAGAAGCACCGGCUAACUACGUGCCAGCAGCCGCGGUAAUACGUAGGGUGCGAGCGUUGUCCGGAAUUAAUGGGAGUAAAGAGCUUGUAGGCGGGUUGUCGCGUCUGCCGUGAAAAUCCGGGGCUCAACCCCGGACUUGCGGUGGGUACGGGCAGACUAGAGUGUGGUAGGGGAGACUGGAAUUCCUGGUGUAGCGGUGAAAUGCGCAGAUAUCAGGAGGAACACCGAUGGCGAAGGCAGGUCUCUGGGCCACUACUGACGCUGAGAAGCGAAAGCGUGGGGAGCGAACAGG
RNAcentral lists this ribosomal RNA (405 nucleotides) under uncultured bacterium. RNAcentral's name for it is "bacterial SSU rRNA". It matches the Rfam family "Bacterial small subunit ribosomal RNA", at positions 359 to 776 of the family's 1533-position model. The record is from RNAcentral.